AUUAUAAAUGGAUCCAUUUUUUUGACUUUUACUGGAGAUUCGGAAUAAUGGACUCUCUCUAGGACCCUCUUUUAUACCGGGAUUUAUCACUACGUUAGCUACGUUAUCAGCUCAACCAGUUACUCGAGAAUCUAAAUUAUCUUAUUUUCUGAUGUUAUGCAAUGUAUAGUGGUCAACUAGGAACAUUUUCUUCUUCUCAAGACAUUUUAACUUUUUUUUCAUCAUGUGGGAAUUAGAAUUAAUUCCCGUUUAUCUACUUUUAUCUAUGUGGGGUGGAAAAAAACGUUUGUAUUCAACUACAAAGUUUAUUUUGUACAAUGCGGGAAGUUUCUUGUUUUUUUUAUUACUGGGAAUUCUGGUAUGAUUUUCUAUAGUUUCUAAUGACCAAAUUAAAUUUUGAAUCAUUAACUAAUCAAUCAUAUCCCGUGGCACUGGAAAUAAUCUUCUAUAUGGGAUUUCUUUAUUGCUUUUGCUGUCAAAUCACCAAUUAUACCCUUACAAACUGGUUACCUGAUACCCAUGGAGAGGCGCAUUACAGCCCUUGUAUGCUUUAGCCGAAUAUAUAUUAAAAAUGGACAUAUGGUUGGUUCGAAUUAAUAUGGAGUUAUUACUCGCGCUCAUUCUAUAUUUUGUCCUGGUUAAUGCUAUUAGGUUCCAUUCAAAUAAUCUAUACAGCUUCAACUCUCUUAAUCACCGCAAUAUAAAAAGAAUAGUGCUUAUUCCUCGGUACUCAUAUGGGUUUUUCUUAAUUUAGGAAUUGGUUUCUAUAGAGAGAAGAGGGCUGAAUGGGGCUAUUUUACAAAUAAUCUCUCAAGGAUUUAUUGUUUGGUGCUGCCCUUUUUUUUCUUGGCGGGAACUAGUUAUGAUAUAGACUACGUCUCUUCUAUCUCGACGAAAUUGGUGGAAUGAGACUUAUGCAAAUCUGUUCAUCAUCAAAACUUCAUCUUUGAUUUUUGCUAACACCCCUUUUCAAAGGCUUCAGAUUUUGGCUCUCCGAACCUUCGAUGCUCUCCUCUUCUCUCUUCCCCGGGUUCGAUUGUGUCGAAUCGCGAUGCUCAGUCCCCUGCUUCUCUAAUAGUGAAGCAAAUAUACCAUGCGCUUCAACAAACGAUGAUAAGCCAAUUUGAUUGUUGACGGUGUGGACGUUAAUAAUGUACGUUCUCCUUGAAUCUCUGUUGGUUAAUUUGGUUAAAGUUUGGACGUUCUAACAAUUGGAGUCCAAGUUACUCUUAUAGGAAGGGUAUGCAACAAAGCCGAACGAGUUACUGAUGUUACGUUUGUGCUUGAUGAUGGUACUGGAAGAUUAAAUGUAAUAAAUGGUUUCAUGAAGCUACUGAUACAAAUGAAGCAGAGGCUAUCUUGUAUGCUACUGCAAUAUUGUAUUUGCUUUGUAUCUUUUCAUUUUGUAUUUAGGUUCGUUCGAUAAAAUUCUAAAAAAAUACUUAUAGGAAAGUAAAAUAAAAAAGAUGA
Molecule: non-coding RNA, 1470 nt
Organism: Vigna umbellata (rice bean)
Lineage: Eukaryota; Viridiplantae; Streptophyta; Magnoliopsida; Fabales; Fabaceae
Source: RefSeq, a predicted model, not a curated record